UGGGUGUCCCAAGAGGCAUUUUGGGUGCAGGAACCCCCUUUCCUCUCACAGCUUUAUUUCCUUGCAGAUGCUGUCUGUCUGUCCUCCCCCCGGCCCGUCCCUCCUGCUGUCCCAAUGUCACCCAGCUGGCCGCCUCUGAUAAGGGCUCCCGGGGCAGAUAAGAAGUUCCUCCCCUUCUCCUCCCUCUCCUGGAGCAGCAGCAAAUGGUGAGUUCGAGCUUUCUCAGCCCUUAAACCCCCAGGAAAGUGAAACCAAUCCCACGCCCUCCCAGGCUCUGGGAAAAACAUUUGUGAACGCAAGUCUUUGGUGAGAGAAGUGAAAUAAUAACAAAAAAAAAAAAAAGUUGGUUUCCCUUCUCCUGAGCAGCCCCAAGCCACCCUUGAGGUUCCAGGGCAGGGUUACCUGGAGCAAACCCUGCUCUGUGAUGUGGCAAGGACACACCCUGCAGGACACAGGAGGAAAUCUUGACGGGAUGUUGAGUCAGACUCUCAUAAUUCUUACUUAAAAGAUGAUUAAAAUGGAAAUAUUUUCUGAAAUGCAGCACAGGAGGAAAUCUUGAUGGGAUGUUGAGUCAGACUCUCGUAAUUCUUAUUAAAAGAUGAUUAAAAUGGAAAUAUUUUCUGAAAUGCAGCACAGGUGAGGAUCUGAGCGGCAGAGCAAAUGCUGCAGGUGAAACUUGCCCUGAAAAUCCCUCCCCAGUCCAGAGGUGAGUGAGUGAUGAGCCAAAAAAAGAGGAUUUCGAGACAAUGUGACUCCAGCAGGCCAUGAGAACAAUGAGAAGCUCAAAAAUAGCACUAUUGACUGGUGGAAAAACAACAUACAUAUAAUUUUCAGGCUUUGCUUAUUAAGAAUCAUUUACUAUCUGUGGAAACAACUUCUGACUUGAGCAGUGGGGCCUUAAAAAAUCACUUUUAAUUGGAAUGAGAGAGUUCCUCCCAGUGAAAGCCUGGGUCUGUUGGUGCUGGAAGUCUGGAGAGUGCAAUUAAAAGCUUCCCUCACCUCUGUGAUGAUAUCUUGGAAAUAAAUGCAGCUUUCUGGAGUUUUUCUCCUCAUGUUUGAAUAGUUUUUUGGCCAAUUUGAAGCUUCUGCAGGAUCUGAUGUUUUAAGUUUUGCCUGGCUUUGAAUUUCUCAGCUGCCCAGGACCUGCUGUGGUUGCUUUUUACUCUUUCUUCUCGUGCUGCGUCCACAAAUUAUGAAAAUGGGUGCUAAUGACCAAAAAAAAAAAAAAAUAAUCCCAAUCGUGAUUCAUGGAAAUGGAAUUUUGUUGACAAAAAAAGGGGGAUUUAACUUGGCCAAAGGAAAUGCUUUUCCAACUGGAGAUGAAUAUCUCAGGAAUGACCAUUUCUUCUCAGAGACAGAACUAUUCCAGUUUUCAUUUCAGAAAAAAACCAGAAUAGAAUAAUGCAAAUAAAGACCUGGAGAAAAGCAAGCAGGCCCACCCGAAAGGGGCAGUUUUUCCAGGCAAAGAACUCCCAAAAGGUGAAUUUUGGGUGAGUGAAGCGAAGGUGGGGAGGAUGCUGGGGCAGGAAACGCCGUCACCUCCCCUGGGCUGGCCACACCUCGUCCCAGUGCAGACCAGCAGCUCCCAAAAUCCUGGAAUGGCCAGGCUUGGAGGGCACCUCAGAGCUGUCCCCAGAUCUGCUCCUG
Zonotrichia albicollis (white-throated sparrow) is the source of this 1647-nucleotide non-coding RNA. NCBI's taxonomy places the organism in Eukaryota, Metazoa, Chordata, Aves, Passeriformes, Passerellidae. The record is from RefSeq and is a predicted model, not a curated record.